RNAcentral lists this ribosomal RNA (274 nucleotides) under uncultured bacterium. RNAcentral describes it as "partial 16S ribosomal RNA". It matches the Rfam family "Bacterial small subunit ribosomal RNA", at positions 1228 to 1500 of the family's 1533-position model. The record is from RNAcentral.
CAAUGGCCGUUAACAGAGGGAAGCAAUCCCGCGAGGAGGAGCAAAACCCUAAAAACGGUCUCAGUUCGGACUGCAGGCUGCAACCCGCCUGCACGAAGUUGGAAUUGCUAGUAAUCGCGGAUCAGCAUGCCGCGGUGAAUACGCUCCCGGGUCUUGUACACACCGCCCGUCACACCAUGGGAGCCGGUAAUACCCGAAGUCAGUAGUUUAACCCUUGUGGAGGACGCUGCCGAAGGUAGGAUUGGCGACUGGGGUGAAGUCGUAACAAGGUAAC